Molecule: long non-coding RNA, 946 nt
Filed under: Diabrotica virgifera virgifera (western corn rootworm)
Lineage: Eukaryota; Metazoa; Arthropoda; Insecta; Coleoptera; Chrysomelidae
Description: uncharacterized LOC126887717
Source: RNAcentral
CUAACAACACACAACAUUCCAGGAAUGUACUACCAAAGUUCUAUCAAUAUUUGAAUGUCCUGGACAUUUAGGGAACAUUCGGUGAACAUCUGAUUAAAUUAUUCGUGGAAUGUUACCAUAAGACAUUCUGUGAACAUACUACCAAUGUUCCUAUAUGUUCAUUUUCAAAUUCACGGCGCAUGUAUUUGUGCAUGGUGCUUAGAGAGGGCAUCACGUGACUAAAAACGACCAAUGACCUCACUUCAGACUUCGGUGCUUCGGCCAUCUUGACAUGCAUCUUGGCCUUGGCCACAUGGCCACCUUGCCGUGCGUGAUCGUUGUUUGUUUUUAUUUGUGCUUUUUAAGAAUAUUUUUUAAUUCGGAUACUUUUAUAAUAACUUUAAUAGUAUUAUUAAUAUAGUGCAUAAAAUCAGUUGGAGUAGCAGAAGCAAUGUAGAUAAAAAAUCUGCAGGAAUAAUGUUUCAAAGCUUUCCAGAAGAUCCUGCGAAGAAGGCAUGAAGUAUUGAUCAGAUUUGUUAAUAGAGCAGUAUGUUCAAAACAUUUUUUAGAAAAAGAUAUUGACAGAACUUCACUUUCAACCGUUUGAGAGACUGUGCUGUUCCAAUAGCUUAUAUCACACAGAAUCAGCUGAGAGAAGUGGUCUACAAAAAACCAGGAAGGAAAUGGAAUAUGUGGCUAUGAAAGGCAAAAGAAAGGUUUACAAAGCAAAUGUGACACAUUUUUUUAUAGGAAUAUCAGUAAAUUACAUUAAAAAAAUGUAUGAAAAGAUUUUUUGCAAUAAAAAUGUUUAUAUUUAUCAAGGAUGCAUUAUUUGGUAUGGCCACAUAUCGUCAGUGAUGUGACAAUACCUCCUAUCUGUUUUUUCAUGAGAUUUGUAAGAUAGACUAAAAACUUGUUUGGGCCACCUCCUGUUUUCAUAUAUUUUUUGACUUGUUUUGCAGUAAAU